AUUGAACGCUGGCGGCAGGCCUAACACAUGCAAGUCGAGCGAGCGGCGGACGGGUGAGUAAUGCCUGGGAAUUGCCCAGUCGAGGGGGAUAACAGUUGGAAACGACUGCUAAUACCGCAUACGAUUGGAUUGUCGAGGUGGGAUUAGCUAGUUGGUGAGGUAAUGGCUCACCAAGGCGACGAUCCCGAGCUGGGCUGAGAGGAUGAGCAGCCAAACUGGAACUGAGCCACGGUCCAGACUCCUACGGUAGGCAGCAGUGGGGAAUAUUGCACAAUGGGGGAAACCCUGAAGCAGCCAUGCCGCGUGUGUGAAGAAGGCCUUCGGGUUUUAAAGCACUUUCAGCGAGGAGGCGGUACUCGCAGAAGAAGCACCGGCUAACUCCGUGCCAGCCGCCGCGGUAAUAC
This 404-nucleotide ribosomal RNA is filed under the name uncultured bacterium. RNAcentral describes it as "partial 16S ribosomal RNA". It matches the Rfam family "Bacterial small subunit ribosomal RNA", at positions 30 to 526 of the family's 1533-position model. The record is from RNAcentral.